UCGUACAACAGAGGCGCGAGGGCUGUCGCUGACCCUUCAAAGGUCGUGCACGCCCGAGCGCUCUCUCACAAUCCAUCUCACCCCUUUGUGCAUCACCGCGUGGGUCCCCCUCCUUUGCGGGGAGGGCUUGCGUUUAUCACACAAUACUCAAUACAGUGUAGAAUGUUUCUUUUGCGAUCACACGCAAUCAAUA
RNAcentral lists this unclassified non-coding RNA (193 nucleotides) under uncultured Russula. Its description in RNAcentral is "sequence contains ITS1". Lineage: Eukaryota; Fungi; Basidiomycota; Agaricomycetes; Russulales; Russulaceae. The record is from RNAcentral.